This 910-nucleotide ribosomal RNA is filed under the name uncultured fungus. RNAcentral's name for it is "LSU rRNA". It matches the Rfam family "Eukaryotic large subunit ribosomal RNA", at positions 74 to 1006 of the family's 3401-position model. The record is from RNAcentral. Lineage: Eukaryota; Fungi.
AUUGCCCCAGUAACGGCGAGUGAAGCGGCAAUAGCUCAAAUUUGAAAUCUGGCUCUUUCAGGGUCCGAGUUGUAAUUUGCAGAGGGCGCUUUGGCGUCGGCAGCAGCCUAAGUUCCUUGGAACAGGUCAUCAUAGAGGGUGAGAAUCCCGUAUGUGGCUGCUUGUCUUCGCCGUGUAAAGCCCCUUCGAUGAGUCGAGUUGUUUGGGAAUGCAGCUCUAAAUGGGAGGUAAAUUUCUUCUAAAGCUAAAUAUUGGCCAGAGACCGAUAGCGCACAAGUAGAGUGAUCGAAAGAUGAAAAGCACUUUGGAAAGAGAGUCAAAAAGCACGUGAAAUUGUUGAAAGGGAAGCGCUUGCAGCCAGACGUGCCCGUAGUUGCUCAUCGGGGGUUCUCCCCCGUGUACUCUUCUAUGGGCAGGCCAGCAUCAGUCCGGGCGGUUGGAGAAAGACCUGUGUCAUGUAGCUGUUUUCGGGCAGUGUUAUAGGGCAGGUGGAAUGCAACCAGCCUGGACUGAGGUCCGCGCAUCUGCUAGGAUGCUGGCGUAAUGGCUGUAAGCGGCCCGUCUUGAAACACGGACCAAGGAGUCUAACAUCUAUGCGAGUGUUUGGGUGUCAAGCCCGAGCGCGUAAUGAAAGUGAACGGAGGUGGGAACCUUUUAGGUGCACCAUCGACCGAUCCUGAUGUCUUCGGAUGGAUUUGAGUAAGAGCAUAGCUGUUGGGACCCGAAAGAUGGUGAACUAUGCCUGAAUAGGGUGAAGCCAGAGGAAACUCUGGUGGAGGCUCGCAGCGGUUCUGACGUGCAAAUCGAUCGUCAAAUUUGGGCAUAGGGGCGAAAGACUAAUCGAACUAUCUAGUAGCUGGUUCCUGCCGAAGUUUCCCUCAGGAUAGCAGUAACGUUUUCAGUUUUAUGA